RNAcentral lists this transfer RNA (85 nucleotides) under Patescibacteria group bacterium. Its description in RNAcentral is "tRNA-Leu". It matches the Rfam family "tRNA". From Rfam's summary of the family: Transfer RNA (tRNA) molecules are approximately 80 nucleotides in length. Their secondary structure includes four short double-helical elements and three loops (D, anti-codon, and T loops). The record is from RNAcentral.
GCCGAAGUGGCGGAAUUGGUAGACGCGCACGGUUCAGGGCCGUGUGACCUUUUAGGUCAUGUGAGUUCAAGUCUCAUCUUCGGCA